This 497-nucleotide ribosomal RNA is filed under the name uncultured bacterium. RNAcentral describes it as "partial 16S ribosomal RNA". It matches the Rfam family "Bacterial small subunit ribosomal RNA", at positions 28 to 507 of the family's 1533-position model. The record is from RNAcentral.
GACGAACGCUGGCGGCGUGCCUAAUACAUGCAAGUUGAGCGCUGAAGGUUGGUACUUGUCCCGACUGGAUGAGCAGCGAACGGGUGAGUAACGCGUGGGGAAUCUGCCUUUGAGCGGGGGACAACAUUUGGAAACGAAUGCUAAUACCGUAUAAAAACUUUAAACACAAGUUUUAAGUUUGAAAGAUGCAAUUGCAUCACUCAAAGAUGAUCCCGCGUUGUAUUAGCUAGUUGGUGAGGUAAAGGCUCACCAAGGCGAUGAUACAUAGCCGACCUGAGAGGGUGAUCGGCCACAUUGGGACUGAGACACGGCCCAAACUCCUACGGGAGGCAGCAGUAGGGAAUCUUCGGCAAUGGACGAAAGUCUGACCGAGCAACGCCGCGGGAGUGAAGAAGGUUUUCGGAUCGUAAAACUCUGUUGGUAGAGAAGAACGUUGGUGAGAGUGGAAAGCUCAUCAAGUGACGGUAACUACCCAGAAAGGGACGGCUAACUACGUG